This 716-nucleotide ribosomal RNA is filed under the name Niallia circulans. RNAcentral describes it as "bacterial SSU rRNA". It matches the Rfam family "Bacterial small subunit ribosomal RNA", at positions 56 to 757 of the family's 1533-position model. Lineage: Bacteria; Bacillati; Bacillota; Bacilli; Caryophanales; Bacillaceae. The record is from RNAcentral.
UGCAAGUCGAGCGGACUUAAAAAGCUUGCUUUUUAAGUUAGCGGCGGACGGGUGAGUAACACGUGGGCAACCUGCCUGUAAGACUGGGAUAACUUCGGGAAACCGGAGCUAAUACCGGAUAAUCCUUUCCUACUCAUGUAGGAAAGCUGAAAGACGGUUUACGCUGUCACUUACAGAUGGGCCCGCGGCGCAUUAGCUAGUUGGUGAGGUAACGGCUCACCAAGGCGACGAUGCGUAGCCGACCUGAGAGGGUGAUCGGCCACACUGGGACUGAGACACGGCCCAGACUCCUACGGGAGGCAGCAGUAGGGAAUCUUCCGCAAUGGACGAAAGUCUGACGGAGCAACGCCGCGUGAGUGAUGAAGGUUUUCGGAUCGUAAAACUCUGUUGUUAGGGAAGAACAAGUACGAGAGUAACUGCUCGUACCUUGACGGUACCUAACCAGAAAGCCACGGCUAACUACGUGCCAGCAGCCGCGGUAAUACGUAGGUGGCAAGCGUUGUCCGGAAUUAUUGGGCGUAAAGCGCGCGCAGGCGGUCCUUUAAGUCUGAUGUGAAAGCCCACGGCUCAACCGUGGAGGGUCAUUGGAAACUGGGGGACUUGAGUGCAGAAGAGAAGAGUGGAAUUCCACGUGUAGCGGUGAAAUGCGUAGAGAUGUGGAGGAACACCAGUGGCGAAGGCGACUCUUUGGUCUGUAACUGACGCUGAGGCGCGAA